UUUCCGUAGGUGAACCUGCGGAAGGAUCAUUAACGGGUUAGGGUCUUUUAGGCCCGACCUCCCAACCCUAUGUUUAUUGAACCUCUGUUGCUUCGGCGGACCCGUCUCACGGCCGCCGGAGGACCGCUGCGAGGCGUCCUCUGGCCAGCGUCCGCCGAUGGCCAACCCACUAAACUCUGAAUGAAUCGUGUCAUAUGUCUAAGUCUAUGAUUAAAUUAAAGCAAAACUUUCAACAACGGAUCUCUUGGUUCUG
This 253-nucleotide unclassified non-coding RNA is filed under the name plant metagenome. Its description in RNAcentral is "partial contains small subunit ribosomal RNA, internal transcribed spacer 1, and 5.8S ribosomal RNA". The record is from RNAcentral.